AAGUAAUGAUUCAGGUCCUCAUGUUAUCCCAAUACCUCAUUAAUAGGCUGCUUGAUGAUUCCGGAAAUCAUAAACAAUGUGGUAUGUAUUCUGGUGACUAUUAUAUUUUGUCUCAUUGUGAAUGGAUUCUUCUAAAAAGAGGGAUCUAAGGAUAGUUCCUAGGGCUUUAUGCACAUGCUCAGUUCAACAGUGGCUUAUAAUUGUGGUUAUUGUUAACAUUUGUUUAUUUUCUUUUGGAAAAUAUUACUCUGUUUCAUGAUAAGCUGUAGCCAAGAAUGUGAGAAUAAUUCCAAGUUUUGCCUUGAAAUCCACACUUAAUCAUCUCUUGUUUUCUUCUCUUUUGAAAUGUGGAAUUAAUAUUCUGCAGAAAAUAAAAUAAAUUAUAUUUGUUACAAGAAGAUUAUGUCUGAAAAGGAAUCAUAUUUUUUUUUAUAAAAUAGUCAUUCCUUGUUUAGAAAGUUUAUUUUGGCAACUAUACUUUAAAUAUCUGAAUAUUCAAAAAUGUCUUAAUGCUUCUAUAUAUCAUGGGCUUGUUUUGCUAAUAUGCAGUAUACAAUGUAUCCAGAGGACAAUAUUUAUUUAUUUAUUUUUAAAUAUUAUUUAUUUAUUCAUGAGAGACACAGAGAGAGAGAGGCAAAGACACAGGCAGAGGGAGAAGCAGGCUCCAUUCAGGGAGCCCGAUGUGGGACUCGAUCCCAGGACCCUGGGAUCACGCCCUGAUCUGAAGGCAGACACUCAACCACUGAGCCACUCAGGUGCCCCAGAGAAGACAAUAUUUAAAGAACAUUUUGGGCAGAGAUACAUACAGGAAACAUGUGAUGUGGGUGAGUCUGAGAGUAGAUCUAUGGCUGUCUGACCAAUAGACCAUGGCACCGGGGAUGCUAUGUGACUUCCAAAGCCAGGUCAUAAAAGCUUCCACUUGGCUCUCUCUCAGUGUGCUUGACUUUGGAACCCAGCCACCAUGUUGUGAAGAAGCCCAGAUCACAUGGAAAGGCCACACGUAAGAGUUCCAGUGAAGAGUCCCAACUAAAGUCUCAGCUCACAGGCAUGACAAACCUCCAGACAUGUGCAUGAACAAGGCUUCAGAUGAUUCUCACCCCCAGGGUUGAGUAUUCUGAACACUUAUGGAGCAGAGAUGCGCUGUAUCCAUUGUGCCCCAACCAACUUCCUGACAAACAGAAACCAAAUGAGAUAAUAAAUUAUUCUUGUUUUAAAAUGCUGAGUCUUGUAGUAAUUUUAUAUGCAACUUGUAACACAGACAUAAAUAGGGAUCUGGAUGAAAACAGUUUUUCAGGAAUAAUUGGAAAAGACUAAAAUUUCUAGGGAAUUGAGGAGUAAAUGGGCAUUUAAGCAGAAGUAAUGCAUUUAGGUAACUCUUGCAAAAAAUUUUUUUUGUUAGGGAUAUGAGAUAUCUUUACUUCUUAUUUCCUAAAUAAAGAAUAACCAAUAAAAAUAUGGCUCAUGGGAGGCAUUUCUUUUUAAUAAGAAAGACUCAUGUUGUGUGUUGAAAUAAAAGAACUUAUAGACAGGAGGGAAUACUGAAGCAUGUGUGUGCGCUC
RNAcentral lists this long non-coding RNA (1559 nucleotides) under Canis lupus familiaris (dog). Its description in RNAcentral is "lncRNA (ENSCAFG00040000101.1)". The record is from RNAcentral. Lineage: Eukaryota; Metazoa; Chordata; Mammalia; Carnivora; Canidae.